Molecule: ribosomal RNA, 530 nt
Filed under: Faecalibacterium prausnitzii
Lineage: Bacteria; Bacillati; Bacillota; Clostridia; Eubacteriales; Oscillospiraceae
Description: bacterial LSU rRNA
Rfam family: Bacterial large subunit ribosomal RNA (bases 58-530)
Source: RNAcentral
CUUCGUUGGCAAGAGAGAAUCACGAGGAUACCAAAUGUUCUUAANGAACGUUUGAAAGGUCAAGCGAACAUGGGCGCAGGCGAAUGCUUGGCACUGGAGCCGAUGAAAGACGUGAUAAGCUGCGAUAAGCUUCGGGGAGCUGCAAAUAAGCAUUGAUCCGGAGAUUUCUGAAUGAGGAAACUUCACCUGGGUUCAUACUCAGGUACGUUAUACUGAACUUAAAAAUAGGUAUAUCGAGGGAACCGCCUGAACUGAAACAUCUAAGUAGGGCGAGGAAGAGACAUCAAACGAGAUUCCGUAAGUAGUGGCGAGCGAACGCGGAAGAGGGCAAACCGGAAGUAGAAAUACUUCCGGGGUACGGACCGCAUUUAGGACUUGAGUUGUUAACCGAACGGCAUGGGAAGGCCGGUCAGAGAGUGUGAGAACCACGUAGGUGAAAACGACAAGAGCUGAGCGAGUUCCAGAGUACGGCCAGACACGUGAAACCUGGUCGGAAUACGGGGGGACCACCCUCCAACCCUAAAUACUAC